GAUGAACGCUGGCGGCGUGCCUAAUACAUGCAAGUCGAGCGAACAGACGAGGAGCUUGCGCCGCGGACGUGAGCGGCGGACGGGUGAGUAACACGUGGAUAACCUACCUAUAAGACGGGGAAAACUUCGGGAAAGCGGAGCUAAUACGGGAGAAGAUAUUGAACCGCAUGGGGCAAUAGAAAAAGACGGUGGUUGUGUCAGUUAUAGAGGGAUCCGGGCCGCAUUAGCUGGUUGGUGAGGUAACGGGUUACCAAGGCGACGAGGCGUAGCCGAACUCAGGGACUGAUAGCCCACCUUGGAACUGAGACACGGUCCAGACUCCUGCGGUAGGCCGCAGUCGGGAAUCUUCCGCAAUGGGGGAGAGCCUUACGGAGCAGCGCGGCGUGAGUGAUGACGGUCUUCGGAUCGUAAAGCUCUGUUAUUAGGGAAAAACAACUGUGUAAGUAACUAUGCACUUAUUGACGGUACCUAAUAAGAAAGCACCGGCUAACUACGUG
This 497-nucleotide ribosomal RNA is filed under the name uncultured bacterium. RNAcentral's name for it is "partial 16S ribosomal RNA". It matches the Rfam family "Bacterial small subunit ribosomal RNA", at positions 28 to 507 of the family's 1533-position model. The record is from RNAcentral.